Non-coding RNA from Delphinapterus leucas (beluga whale), 207 nucleotides. NCBI's taxonomy places the organism in Eukaryota, Metazoa, Chordata, Mammalia, Artiodactyla, Monodontidae. The record is from RefSeq and is a predicted model, not a curated record.
AUUGGCAGGCGGACUCUCAACCACUGCGCCACCAGGGAAGCCCUCUAAUCUGGAUGGGGAAUCCAUCUGGUAAAGAUGAUGGGGCCACAAGAUGGAGGGAUUCUGGGUACCUACAUCAUCACUGGGAGAUGCCCAGGAGAAUCACCCAGGACAGUCAGCUCACAGGAAUCAUCCUGACCAGGCCCACCUGUGAAUGACUGCAAGCAG